AGCGAACGCUGGCGGCAGGCCUAACACAUGCAAGUCGAACGAACUCUUCGCAGUUAGUGGCGGACGGGUGAGUACCACUUAGUAACGUUCCUUUUGGCUCCGAAUCACUCCGGGAAACUUUUGCUAAUCCCGAAUGUGCCCUUCGUUGUUAAGAUUUAUCGCCAUUAGACCGGCCCGCGUCUGCUUAGCUAGUUGGUGAGUUAACGGCUCACCAACGCGACGAUCAGUAGCUGGUCUGAGAGGGUGACCAGCCACACUGGGACUGAGACACGGCCCAGACUCCUACGGGAGGCAGCAGUAGGGAAUCUUGCGCAAUGGGCGAAAGCCUGACGCAGCCAUGCCGCGUGAAUGAUGAAGGUCUUAGGAUUGUAAAAUUCUUUCACCGGGGACGAUAAUGACGGUACCCGGAGAAGAAGCCCCGGCUAACUUCGUG
RNAcentral lists this ribosomal RNA (433 nucleotides) under uncultured bacterium. RNAcentral's name for it is "partial 16S ribosomal RNA". It matches the Rfam family "Bacterial small subunit ribosomal RNA", at positions 29 to 507 of the family's 1533-position model. The record is from RNAcentral.